GAUGAACGCUGGCGGCGUGCCUAAUACAUGCAAGUCGAGCGAACAGACGAGGAGCUUGCUCCUCUGACGUUAGCGGCGGACGGGUGAGUAACACGUGGAUAACCUACCUAUAAGACUGGGAUAACUUCGGGAAACCGGAGCUAAUACCGGAUAAUAUAUUGAACCGCAUGGUUCAAUAGUGAAAGACGGUUUUGCUGUCACUUAUAGAUGGAUCCGCGCCGCAUUAGCUAGUUGGUAAGGUAACGGCUUACCAAGGCGACGAUGCGUAGCCGACCUGAGAGGGUGAUCGGCCACACUGGAACUGAGACACGGUCCAGACUCCUACGGGAGGCAGCAGUAGGGAAUCUUCCGCAAUGGGCGAAAGCCUGGCGGAGCAACGCCGCGUGAGUGAUGAAGGUCUUCGGAUCGUAAAACUCUGUUAGUAGGGAAGAACAAAUGUGUAAGUAACUAUGCACGUCUUGACGGUACCUAAUCAGAAAGCCACGGCUAACUACGUG
RNAcentral lists this ribosomal RNA (497 nucleotides) under uncultured bacterium. RNAcentral's name for it is "partial 16S ribosomal RNA". It matches the Rfam family "Bacterial small subunit ribosomal RNA", at positions 28 to 507 of the family's 1533-position model. The record is from RNAcentral.